Molecule: ribosomal RNA, 253 nt
Filed under: uncultured bacterium
Lineage: Bacteria
Description: partial 16S ribosomal RNA
Rfam family: Bacterial small subunit ribosomal RNA
Source: RNAcentral
UACGUAGGGUGCAAGCGUUAUUCGGAAUUACUGGGCGUAAAGCGCGCGUAGGCGGCUGUCGAAGUCAAAUGUGAAAUCCCCGGGCUCAACCUGGGAAUUGCAUUUGUGACUGCACGGCUAGAGUGUGUCAGAGGGGGGUAGAAUUCCACGUGUAGCAGUGAAAUGCGUAGAGAUGUGGAGGAAUACCGAUGGCGAAGGCAGCCCCCUGGGAUAACACUGACGCUCAUGCACGAAAGCGUGGGGAGCAAACAGG